RNAcentral lists this unclassified non-coding RNA (2631 nucleotides) under Haliotis rubra (blacklip abalone). RNAcentral's name for it is "cysteine-rich PDZ-binding protein-like, transcript variant X5". Lineage: Eukaryota; Metazoa; Mollusca; Gastropoda; Lepetellida; Haliotidae. The record is from RNAcentral.
CUUCCGGAAAUGCGACUGCUUGGCAAUAAAAUGCUCUAAGCAUUUUGUUUUGUGAAUGUUUGUGUGUUUGAUUCAUUCUAACAUUAGGAAGAAACAUCUGGAUUUUAAAAUACGUUAUAACACACGCGUAUGUUACGAUCCAGUGUCGUUUUUUGAAAGUAGUUGUAUCCCAUACUUAUCGCACACUUUCAGCCCUGAGUUUCACCACGGGAUUACAAGCGAGUCCGAUUAAACAUGGAUGAAAGAAAGAGUAAAAAUGAAAGGCUAAGAGAAGCUUUCCAAGAUGUCCUAGACAAGGGCAUUGCUGUCAGGAAAGCAGCUAGAGUGCAUGGCAUCCCUGAAUCUACACUGAGAGGAAGACUCAACAAUCCCAAAGGCUUGGAUGUCAAGGUUGGUGCACCACCUAUAUUCUCACCUACACAAGAGGGGGAACUUGCAUCAUACUGCAUAAAGAUGGCCAAUAUUGGUUAUGGAUUUUCCAGAUGGCAAGUGAUUGACUUAGCAGUAAAUAUGAACAAGAUUUUGCAGAGAGACUUCAACCCAACCAAGCACUGGUUUUAUGGAUUUUUAUCCAGGUAUCCAGAAAUUACCGUUGUUAAUGCAAAGAAGAGGGAUGAUGCUGUGACGGAGGAGACUUUAAGGUUGUAUUUUUCUGAAUUGACCAAGCUUCUGGCCAAGUAUGACCUUGUUGAUAAGCCAGCACAUAUAUGGCAUGUGGAUGAAUCAGGAAUAUCCCUUGAUCACAACCCUCCAGAAGUUGUGGCACGGAAAGGAACUAUGCCUCACAUGGUGACAGCUGGACAUUCUCCAACCACCACAGUCAUUGCUGCAGUAAGUGCUGUUGGUGACACCAUUCCGCCAUAUAUGAUAUACAAGGGAAAGCGUUUGUCCAAGCAACUGACAACAGGUGGACUUAAAGGAACAGAGUACAGAACAUCUCCAAGUGGCUGGUCUAAUUCCAUUUUGUUUCUGGACUUUUUUAAGAAUCAUUUCCUCCAUCAUGCGACAAGACCAUGCAUUCUGCUGUACGAUGGCCAUUCUACUCAUGUGACUGCUGAUAUCAUCCAGACUGCUAAGGAAGAAAAUGUCCAUUUGUUUGUUUUACCCCCACAUACAAGCCAUUGUCUUGAUGUGUCAGUGUUUGGUCCAUUUAAGAAAAGUUUGUCCACAGAGUUUCAUAAAUUCUAUCAUGAACAUCCCAACUCUACCAUCACAAGAGAGCAGCUUCCACAACUUGUUGGUCAGGCCUAUGUCAGUGCUUUAACUGUUCAAAAUGUGAUCUGGAUUUCGGAAGACUGGUAUAUUUCCCCUGGAUGCCUCAGCUGUGGAUACUAAUGCACCAGCCAUCACUCCUCAACCAACAUGCCAAAAGAAGCUGGGAAAGGUGAUAACUCCUGAUCCCUGGAAGUCUGGGGCAGAAACACAACCAAAGGAGGCGGCCGCAAAGUUGGAGAGAAUAAAGCUUUGACAGCAAAGAAAAACAGGUUCAACCCCUAUUCUACAGGAUUUGACAAGUGCCGGAUCUGCAAAUCCAUCGUCCACCAGCCUGGCUCUCACUACUGUCAAGACUGUGCCAAUGAGAAGGGAAUCUGUGCCAUGUGUGGCAAGUAGAUCAUAGACACAACCAACUACCGACAGACUUCAGUUUGAAGAAGAGUAUGAAUUCAGGACAAGUUUGACUUAUGAAAAACUGAAAAUAGAGUCUUAUUUGUUUUCUUCAUCAGUGGCUUAGGCAUACUUGAUCAUCAAGUGGAUUUUAUGAGGCUCCUACUGGAAGCCAGAAUGAGGAUGUGGAUCGUCCCAAAUGGAUCCAAGAGCUCUAACACUGAUGUUUGUUUGAGACAUCUCAUCACUUGUCAGCCAUAUCAAUCUUGCUGGAGUAUGUGUAUAGCCCUGUAGAUGUUUGAUAUUCAUAGUCAUCUGUUUGCCUACUUGGUGAAGUGAUGGUUGGUCACACCAAGUCUCAGAGUUCAUCCCUACAUGGAUCAUUCCUCUGGAGAUACAUAUGCCUGAAAUAAGAGCUGCACACUCACUUACUCACCCACAUUUACUUCUUUGUCACAGAUGUUUGUAUACAUCAGGUUUAAGACAUACAACUUUUCAAGGUAUAAAAUGCUCAGUCAGCAUAAAAAACACUAUUGCCAAGGGCAUUAAGGCAGCUAGGUUUAUUUUCUGCUGAGAUUCUUUUCAUUUUACACUUAUUAUGCAACAACCUAUCCUAAUUAGUGGAAGAAUUCCUGCAGCUUCAACUGGGAAUGUGGGUUUGAACAAGGGGCUCAAGAUGAUCCUUCUGUAAUUCCUGAGACGUUCAGUAUUCUGUCUACCCAUGGAUGUAAUUGUUUGAAUCGGAAAUCAUUACAUCUGUUCCCUGUUGGGAACAUUUUCUAGCUGCAACAGAAAUCUGUGUAACUUAAUCCACCUGACCACAUUAGCUAGAAAGUAACAUUGAAAUAUGUUUUGUUUUAUUCAAGCAAAUGAAUAAUUGACUAGUUGUAUUUAUUUUAUUUUUUUCAUCAGGAAUACUUGUACAAGUACCUUUGUGAUGAAUUUGGAUGUCAGUAAUCUCACAUUAAGCCUCUUUUGUUGACAUAUAAUUAUUAUAUUUCAGUAAAAUCAUGUGUCUCUCCGAUA